UACGUAGGCAGCAAGCGUUGUUCGGAGUUACUGGGCGUAAAGGGUGUGUAGGCGGUUGUUUAAGUUUGGUGUGAAAUCUCCCGGCUCAACUGGGAGGGUGCGCCGAAUACUGAAUGACUUGGAGUGCGGGAGAGGAAAGUGGAAUUCCUGGUGUAGCGGUGAAAUGCGCAGAUAUCAGGAAGAACACCCGUGGCGAAGGCGGCUCUCUGGGACGGUACUGACGCUGAGACGCGAAAGCGUGGGGAGCGAACAGG
This 254-nucleotide ribosomal RNA is filed under the name uncultured bacterium. RNAcentral's name for it is "partial 16S ribosomal RNA". It matches the Rfam family "Bacterial small subunit ribosomal RNA", at positions 524 to 776 of the family's 1533-position model. The record is from RNAcentral.